RNAcentral lists this ribosomal RNA (1956 nucleotides) under Odontotaenius disjunctus (patent leather beetle). Its description in RNAcentral is "SSU rRNA". It matches the Rfam family "Eukaryotic small subunit ribosomal RNA". The record is from RNAcentral. Lineage: Eukaryota; Metazoa; Arthropoda; Insecta; Coleoptera; Passalidae.
UUGUCUCAAAGAUUAAGCCAUGCAUGUCUCAGUACAUACCGAAAUAAGGUGAAACCGCGAAAGGCUCAUUAAAUCAGUUAUGGUUCAUUGGAUCGUACCCACAUUUACUUGGAUAACUGUGGUAAUUCUAGAGCUAAUACAUGCUUACAGAGCUCCGACCGGAGACGGAAGGAGUGCUUUUAUUAGAUCAAAACCAAUCGGCGUCGGCGCCCUAGCGGUGUCGUCGUCGCAAUGCUUGACGAGUCUGAAUAACUUUACGCUGAUCGCACGGUCCAGCACCGGCGACGCAUCUUUCAAAUGUCUGCCUUAUCAACUUUCGAUGGUAGGUUCUGCGCCUACCAUGGUUGUUACGGGUAACGGGGAAUCAGGGUUCGAUUCCGGAGAGGGAGCCUGAGAAACGGCUACCACAUCCAAGGAAGGCAGCAGGCGCGCAAAUUACCCACUCCCGGCACGGGGAGGUAGUGACGAAAAAUAACGAUACGGGACUCAUCCGAGGCCCCGUAAUCGGAAUGAGUACACUUUAAAUCCUUUAACGAGGAUCAAUUGGAGGGCAAGUCUGGUGCCAGCAGCCGCGGUAAUUCCAGCUCCAAUAGCGUAUAUUAAAGUUGUUGCGGUUAAAAAGCUCGUAGUCGAAUUUGUGUCCCGCGCCGCCGGUUCAUCGCUCGCGGUGUUUAACUGGCGUGUUCGCGGGACGUCCUGCCGGUGGGCGUCUUGCGUUCGGCGUCGGCGGUUUGCGACGUGUCGUCGUGUCGUCCCCAUUCGUGGGACGCACGCUUCCGUCCUGCCCCGGCCCGGGCGCGGCCCAACAUCGAAUCCCAUCGCGGUGCUCUUCACCGAGUGUCGAGGUGGGCCGGCACGUUUACUUUGAACAAAUUAGAGUGCUUAAAGCAGGCCAAAAAAUCGCCUGAAUAUUCUGUGCAUGGAAUAAUGGAAUAGGACCUCGGUUCUAUUUUGUUGGUUUUCGGAACCCCGAGGUAAUGAUUAAUAGGAACGGAUGGGGGCAUUCGUAUUGCGACGUUAGAGGUGAAAUUCUUGGANCGUCGCAAGACGGACAGAAGCGAAAGCAUUUGCCAAAAACGCUUUCAUUGAUCAAGAACGAAAGUUAGAGGUUCGAAGGCGAUCAGAUACCGCCCUAGUUCUAACCAUAAACGAUGCCAGCUAGCGAUCCGCCGACGUUCCUCCGAUGACUCGGCGGGCAGCUUCCGGGAAACCAAAGCUUUUGGGUUCCGGGGGAAGUAUGGUUGCAAAGCUGAAACUUAAAGGAAUUGACGGAAGGGCACCACCAGGAGUGGAGCCUGCGGCUUAAUUUGACUCAACACGGGAAACCUCACCAGGCCCGGACACCGGAAGGAUUGACAGAUUGAGAGCUCUUUCUUGAUUCGGUGGGUGGUGGUGCAUGGCCGUUCUUAGUUGGUGGAGCGAUUUGUCUGGUUAAUUCCGAUAACGAACGAGACUCUAGCCUGCUAAAUAGGCGUACUUUUCGACAUCUUAAAGUCCCGACGGUCGGUAGCCCCGUCCACUUCCGUUCGCGCGGUCGUGGCCCGGCGGCCCGGUCGCUCGUGGUUCUUACUGUCGGCGUACACAUUAUUCUUCUUAGAGGGACAGGCGGCUUCUAGCCGCACGAGACUGAGCAAUAACAGGUCUGUGAUGCCCUUAGAUGUUCUGGGCCGCACGCGCGCUACACUGAAGGAAUCAGCGUGUCCUCCCUGGCCGAGCGGCCCGGGUAACCCGCUGAACCUCCUUCGUGCUAGGGAUUGGGGCUUGCAAUUCUUCCCCAUGAACGAGGAAUUCCCAGUAAGCGCGAGUCAUAAGCUCGCGUUGAUUACGUCCCUGCCCUUUGUACACACCGCCCGUCGCUACUACCGAUUGAAUGAUUUAGUGAGGUCUUCGGACCGGUACUCGAUGGCGUUACGACGUCGCCGAUGUUGCUGGGAAGAUGACCAAACUUGAUCAUUU